This 497-nucleotide ribosomal RNA is filed under the name uncultured bacterium. RNAcentral's name for it is "partial 16S ribosomal RNA". It matches the Rfam family "Bacterial small subunit ribosomal RNA", at positions 28 to 507 of the family's 1533-position model. The record is from RNAcentral.
GAUGAACGCUGGCGGCGUGCCUAAUACAUGCAAGUCGAGCGAACAGACGAGGAGCUUGCUCCUCUGACGUUAGCGGCGGACGGGUGAGUAACACGUGGAUAACCUACCUAUAAGACUGGGAUAACUUCGGGAAACCGGAGCUACUACCGGAUAAUAUAUUGAACCGCAUGGUUCAAUAGUGAAAGACGGUUUUGCUGUCACUUAUAGAUGGAUCCGCGCCGCAUUAGCUAGUUGGUAAGGUAACGGCUUACCAAGGCGACGAUGCGUAGCCGACCUGAGAGGGUGAUCAGCCACACUGGAACUGAGACACGGUCCAGACUCCUACGGGAGGCAGCAGUAGGGAAUCUUCCGCAAUGGGCGAAAGCCUGACGGAGCAACGCCGCGUGAGUGAUGAAGGUCUUCGGAUCGUAAAACUCUGUUAUUAGGGAAGAACAAAUGUGUAAGUAACUAUGCACGUCUUGACGGUACCUAAACAGAAAGCCACGGCUAACUACGUG